AGCGCUGGGGCGAAACCGAACGAGAGCGCGGGCGAUGGAGCCGAAGCUCAGCCUGGAGCAGCGAACGGAGCGUCUGGUGCAAAGGAGCCAGGCAUUGCUCAGGCCCCGCCCCCGCGGGCCGGAGAGGGCGAAGCCUCUGCUUGGCUCCGCCCCCUGCAGCUCCACCCUCGAGGACCCCCUUGUCCAAUGGCGCUUGAGGCGGUGCCGAGGGGAGGAGCCAGCGCUGGACACGCCCCUGGUGGGCAGGGCCCGGCUGGGCUCUGCUGCUCCGCGGGGUUCCCUGCAGGGGGCGCCACCGGGGAAAUCACGUGAUUCCCGCGGGGCCCUGCAGGGGGCGGUGCCCUGGCAGUCACGUGACCCACCUGAGGCACCACGGCCAAUCGGGAGACGCUUCUGCCCGCACCAGGGGCUGUCUUCACCCCUGCCUGUCUCCCCGGAACCCUUGUGGCAGGAGCCCUGCUGGAGGCCACAUGACUCCCACAAAACCCUCUGGCCGACGAGGAGCAGCUCUCUGGAUACCCUGCAGGGGGCAGGGUACUCACAGUCAGCCCGCGCGGCCCCGCGGGGGGAGCCGGGACUGCGGCUCCCAUCAUGCCCCGCGGCCCCGACAGUCCCGCCGGAGCCGGGAGUGUCCCCUGAGGAGCGUCCCAGCUGCUCCCCAGGUGCUCUCCGGCUGCCGCCCCGGCCCCUAAGUGCUCCUCCGGACCUUUUCAAUGAUCCCGCAAGCACCCCCAGCUCGCCUCCAAGCGCCCCUCGAGUGUCUCCUGGGAACUGGCGUGAUGACCACAAUGUAGAGAAAGGCCCUGACCCUGUCGCAGUUCCAGCAGCAGUUCAGCCUGUGAAAAACGCCAGUCACUUGUUUUUAAGAUUUUUAAAAGUUUAUUCGUAAUAAAAUGGUUUUAAAAAUAGUAAUGUAAUUAGAGUAAUAAAAAUUUGAACAACUGAGGUUAGGACAAUACGAGACAAUAAGAACAAAGAGCUGCGGACGGUCUGAGUACCUUUUUCUGGGCAAAAUAAGCCCGAAAGAGGACACCCGUUAACAGAGGGUUAACCCUUAAAAACAAUGGACUGUUGCAUAUUCAUACACCUCAUACAUGAUGCAUAAAUUCCAUUCAAACAACGGAUUCUGUAUCAGCUUCUUCCUCUUGAUCCUAAACGGCAUCUUCAUGGCUGAGCGAGGCGGGAAGAAGUUAGUUUCUUCUGAUAAUGGAGCCAUAAAUUCUUUUGCUCUGAAAGAUUUUAGGUGUCCUGUGGCUGCUGUCUGGUGGCUGCAGGAAAGACUCUGCUCUGGCACCUGCAGCACCUCCUCACCUGGGGAGCUGCUCAAGGAGGAACGACAAUGGCAAUGAAAGGACUUGGGACCAAAGGAGGCAUCAGCAGAGCGAGAAACAUUUCUGAAGCUCAUGCUGGUGUCAGGUGAACUCAAACAGGAUAUUGGGUCGGUUUGGUUUGAAACAGAAAGUGAAUUUUAGAGUAAAUCAUGGAUUUACUCCUGUGUCAGGGAAUUGUCUGGAACAUGGAUUUGCUGCUUCAAAAUGUUUUAGUCUCCAUAAUUUGUCUGGGCUGUGUUAUGCAAGAGGUCAUUGUUCCACCUUUUAUAAAUAAAGAGAUUAUGAUGAUGCUA
This is an RNA transcript of Motacilla alba alba, 1624 nucleotides long. It is a transcript of the gene named basic salivary proline-rich protein 4-like, with no coding region annotated. Lineage: Eukaryota; Metazoa; Chordata; Aves; Passeriformes; Motacillidae. The record is from RefSeq and is a predicted model, not a curated record. The transcript is spliced from 6 exons.